GUAAUGGUGUCUUUAGACACCACCUUUAUCUUCAAUUUUUUUAUUU
Molecule: non-coding RNA, 46 nt
Organism: Picea glauca (white spruce)
Lineage: Eukaryota; Viridiplantae; Streptophyta; Pinopsida; Pinales; Pinaceae
Source: Rfam